Pimephales promelas (fathead minnow) is the source of this 754-nucleotide non-coding RNA. The record is from RefSeq and is a predicted model, not a curated record. NCBI's taxonomy places the organism in Eukaryota, Metazoa, Chordata, Actinopteri, Cypriniformes, Leuciscidae.
GGAAAACACCGAAAGUCCUAACGCUAGCGUUAGCAGCUAACGUUACAUCUUCUUUGACUCAUCAUGAUACAGUGCAGACGAGGAGUUUGCUUUUAACAGUGAAAACACCGAAACAACUCCACAAACUGCGGACCAACAAUGCACUUUAUUUCCUUAUUUGGAGGACCUAUUUUCUUAGAAUGUGAGCAUUUCUAUGAUGCACCAAGUGGCUAAGGGUACCAAGCUUGGUGUUAAAAAAAAAAACUGAACAGACUAGAACCUGGUGAUGACCCCACUGAUUGGGAAAUCUCUGCCCAUCACCUGCCCUGAAGAUCACAAAGCCUCAACAAGGGAACGAAGAUUCUUCCGGCGGCUGACUAUUUAUUUAUUUAUUUAUUUAAAGGGGAACCAGUACUCCAGGAUUUUUCGAGAAAGUUGGAUCUGCACAGUCUUUCCUGCUCUAUGAAACUACCAUGCACUGAACUUUACAGUUGGCAACUGGACACAACUGAUCCACUCAUAUCCUGCAACUGUUUUUCAUCUGCUGAACGUUGUUGACUCGAGCACUGCUGCACUGUUGCAAAGUCAAAGGUACUGAAUCAACUUAACUGACACAGGACUUACAUUCACUGACAUGUACAGGACUUGAACUAUUACAGACCAUUUGAUAAGCAACUUUCAUACAAUUCCGAUGACAGAAAUUCCUAUAUUGUGCUUUCAUUUAUUUUAAAAGUUAACCUAUGAUGUAAAGGGACUUGUUUGUUAAAGGGUUAGU